Molecule: unclassified non-coding RNA, 562 nt
Filed under: Hevea brasiliensis (rubber tree)
Lineage: Eukaryota; Viridiplantae; Streptophyta; Magnoliopsida; Malpighiales; Euphorbiaceae
Source: RNAcentral
CAUUCUUUCAUUCUCUUCGAAUAAUUCACUCACCAAGUACACCGUUACGCUUAAUAACGGUCAAACAUGGCUUAUAUAUUCCUCUUCGCAGAUAAAUUUGAGUCACAGCCUUUCUUCCAUUACUUCUGAUGGGUUUUCCGGCAUGAUAAGGGUUGCAAUAUUGCCGGAUUGUGACCCAAAAUAUGAAGCAAUUCUUGAUCGGUUCAGUUCGUGCUAUGCGGUAUCAGGUGAUGCAGUCUUCACUAAACCAUUUUGUUUAGAGUAUAAAUGGGAAAAGAAAGGGUGGGGGGAUUUGCUUAUGCUUGCACAUCCUUUACAUGUCAAGCUUUUAUCGGAUGAAAACGUUAUUGUUUUAAAUGAUUUUAAGUAUAAAAGUAUUGAUGGUGAUCUUGUUGGUGUUGUUGGAGAUUCCUGGGUGUUGAAAUCUGAUCCUAUUUCAGUAACUUGGCAUUCAAUCAAGGGAAUCAAAGAGGAAUCAUGUGCUGAAAUUGUGUCUGCACUUUGUAAGGAUGUUGAGGGUUUGAAUGCAUCAGCUAUAACAACAACGUCAUCUUAUUUUUAU